This 498-nucleotide ribosomal RNA is filed under the name Hermarchus sp. HER2. RNAcentral describes it as "eukaryotic LSU rRNA". Lineage: Eukaryota; Metazoa; Arthropoda; Insecta; Phasmatodea; Phasmatidae. The record is from RNAcentral.
GUACGUGAAACCGUUCAGGGGUAAACGGGAGAAAUCCUGAAUUCGAAAGGGGUUGGAUUCAAGUCCGACCGUUCUGCGCAGGCCUCCUGGCCCCGCCAGAUGGCGCUGGUCGCCCACGGUGAUUCAUUUCGCUUGUGGUGUCGUUCCCUGCGAUCACUCGGUGGGGUGGUGUUGCUCUGGCAGCGGCGGAAUGCACUUCCCCCCUAGUAGAAACGUCGCGACCCGUUGGGUGUCGGUCUAAGGCCCGGGAAGGCAGCCCGUGUGUCCCGUGGGUUGUUCUCACAGGCGCGCGGACUCUCGGUGUCCCGGCCGGCUGCCCGACGGUAUGACCAGAGGAGUCGAUCCGCUGAAUGGGAAACACUUUGGCUGUGUAGCGUCCGGCCCGGCGACGACGCGCGUGGGGAUUGAGGUGCAAACCGGGGGUGUCCGUGCGAAGCACGGCCCCGGCCCCACGUCGCUGUCGAAUCUGUCGGUGUCCUCGGACUGGAUCGUGCUCCC